This 299-nucleotide signal recognition particle RNA is filed under the name Cebus imitator (Panamanian white-faced capuchin). Its description in RNAcentral is "Metazoan signal recognition particle RNA (ENSCCAG00000009036.1)". It matches the Rfam family "Metazoan signal recognition particle RNA". Rfam says of the family: The signal recognition particle (SRP) is a universally conserved ribonucleoprotein. It is involved in the co-translational targeting of proteins to membranes. The eukaryotic SRP consists of a 300-nucleotide 7S RNA and six proteins: SRPs 72, 68, 54, 19, 14, and 9. The record is from RNAcentral. Lineage: Eukaryota; Metazoa; Chordata; Mammalia; Primates; Cebidae.
GCUGGGCGUGGUGGCUCAUGCCUGUAGUCCCAGUCACUCAGGAGGCUGAGGUGGGAGGAUCACUUGAGACCAGGAGUUCUGGGCUGUAGUGCACUAUGCCGACUGGGUGUCCACACUGAGUUCGGCAACAAUAUGGUGACCUCCCAGGAGCGGGAGACCACCAGGGUACCUAAGGAGGGGUGAACCGGCCUGGGUCAGAAAUGGAGCACGUCAAAACUCCGGUGCUGAUCAGUAGUGGGAUUGCACCUGUGAAUAGCCACCGCACUCCAGCCUGGGCAACAUAGCAAGACCCCAUCUCU